GGUUAAGCGACUAAGCGUACACGGUGGAUGCCCUGGCAGUCAGAGGCGAUGAAGGACGUGCUAAUCUGCGAAAAGCGUCGGUAAGGUGAUAUGAACCGUUACAGCCGGCGAUGUCCGAAUGGGGAAACCCAGUGCAAUUCGUUGCACUAUCGUUAACUGAAUACAUAGGUUAACGAGGCGAACCGGGGGAACUGAAACAUCUAAGUACCCCGAGGAAAAGAAAUCAACCGAGAUUCCCCCAGUAGCGGCGAGCGAACGGGGAGCAGCCCGGAGUCUGAAUCAGCUUGUGUGUUAGUGGAAGCGUCUGGAAAGUCGCAGGGUACAGGGUGAUACUCCCGUACACUAAAGCACACAGGUUGUGAACUCGAAGAGUAGGGCGGGACACGUGGUAUCCUGUCUGAAUAUGGGGGGACCAUCCUCCAAGGCUAAAUACUCCUGACUGACCGAUAGUGAACCAGUACCGUGAGGGAAAGGCGAAAAGAACCCCGGCGAGGGGAGUGAAAAAGAACCUGAAACCGUGUACGUACAAGCAGUAGGAGCCCACUAGUUGGGUGACUGCGUACCUUUUGUAUAAUGGGUCAGCGACUUAUAUUCUGUAGCAAGGUUAACCGUAUAGGGGAGCCGCAGGGAAACCGAGUCUUAACUGGGCGUUAAGUUGCAGGGUAUAGACCCGAAACCCGGUGAUCUAGCCAUGGGCAGGUUGAAGGUUGGGUAACACUAACUGGAGGACCGAACCGACUAAUGUUGAAAAAUUAGCGGAUGACUUGUGGCUGGGGGUGAAAGGCCAAUCAAACCGGGAGAUAGCUGGUUCUCCCCGAAAGCUAUUUAGGUAGCGCCUCGUGAAUUCAUCUUCGGGGGUAGAGCACUGUUUCGGCUAGGGGGUCAUCCCGACUUACCAACCCGAUGCAAACUACGAAUACCGAAGAAUGUUAUCACGGGAGACACACGGCGGGUGCUAACGUCCGUCGUGAAGAGGGAAACAACCCAGACCGCCAGCUAAGGUCCCAAAGUCAUGGUUAAGUGGGAAACGAUGUGGGAAGGCCCAGACAGCCAGGAUGUUGGCUUAGAAGCAGCCAUCAUUUAAAGAAAGCGUAAUAGCUCACUGGUCGAGUCGGCCUGCGCGGAAGAUGUAACGGGGCUAAACCAUGCACCGAAGCUGCGGCAGCGACACUAUGUGUUGUUGGGUAGGGGAGCGUUCUGUAAGCCGUUGAAGGUGGCCUGUGAGGGUUGCUGGAGGUAUCAGAAGUGCGAAUGCUGACAUAAGUAACGAUAAUGCGGGUGAAAAACCCGCACGCCGGAAGACCAAGGGUUCCUGUCCAACGUUAAUCGGGGCAGGGUGAGUCGACCCCUAAGGCGAGGCCGAAAGGCGUAGUCGAUGGGAAACAGGUUAAUAUUCCUGUACUCGGUGUUACUGCGAAGGGGGGACGGAGAAGGCUAUGUUGGUACGGGCGACGGUUGUCCCGGUUUAAGCAUGUAGGCGGAUGUUCCAGGUAAAUCCGGAACGUCACUAACGCUGAGGUGUGAUGACGAGGCACUACGGUGCUGAAGUGACAAAUGCCCUGCUUCCAGGAAAAGCCUCUAAGCAUCAGGUAACAUCAAAUCGUACCCCAAACCGACACAGGUGGUCAGGUAGAGAAUACCAAGGCGCUUGAGAGAACUCGGGUGAAGGAACUAGGCAAAAUGGUGCCGUAACUUCGGGAGAAGGCACGCUGAUGGUAGGUGAAGUGACUUGCUCAUGGAGCUGAAAUCAGUCGAAGAUACCAGCUGGCUGCAACUGUUUAUUAAAAACACAGCACUGUGCAAACACGAAAGUGGACGUAUACGGUGUGACGCCUGCCCGGUGCCGGAAGGUUAAUUGAUGGGGUUAUCCGUAAGGAGAAGCUCUUGAUCGAAGCCCCGGUAAACGGCGGCCGUAACUAUAACGGUCCUAAGGUAGCGAAAUUCCUUGUCGGGUAAGUUCCGACCUGCACGAAUGGCGUAAUGAUGGCAAGGCUGUCUCCACCCGAGACUCAGUGAAAUUGAACUCGCUGUGAAGAUGCAGUGUACCCGCGGCAAGACGGAAAGACCCCGUGAACCUUUACUAUAGCUUGACACUGAACACUGGUCCUUGAUGUGUAGGAUAGGUGGGAGGCUUUGAAGUGUGGACGCCAGUCUGCAUGGAGCCAUCCUUGAAAUACCACCCUUUAAUGGCUGGUGUUCUAACGUGGGCCCCUAAUCGGGGUUGCGGACAGUGUCUGGUGGGUAGUUUGACUGGGGCGGUCUCCUCCUAAAGAGUAACGGAGGAGCACGAAGGUCAGCUAAUCCUGGUCGGACAUCAGGAGGUUAGUGCAAUGGCAUAAGCUGGCUUGACUGCGAGCGUGACGGCGCGAGCAGGUGCGAAAGCAGGUCAUAGUGAUCCGGUGGUUCUGAAUGGAAGGGCCAUCGCUCAACGGAUAAAAGGUACUCCGGGGAUAACAGGCUGAUACCGCCCAAGAGUUCAUAUCGACGGCGGUGUUUGGCACCUCGAUGUCGGCUCAUCACAUCCUGGGGCUGAAGUAGGUCCCAAGGGUAUGGCUGUUCGCCAUUUAAAGUGGUACGCGAGCUGGGUUUAGAACGUCGUGAGACAGUUCGGUCCCUAUCUGCCGUGGGCGCUGGAGAAUUGAGGGGGGCUGCUCCUAGUACGAGAGGACCGGAGUGGACGCAUCACUGGUGUUCGGGUUGUCAUGCCAAUGGCAUUGCCCGGUAGCUAAAUGCGGAAGAGAUAAGUGCUGAAAGCAUCUAAGCACGAAACUUGCCCCGAGAUGAGUUCUCCCUGACUCCUUGAGAGUCCUGAAGGAACGUUGAAGACGACGACGUUGAUAGGCCGGGUGUGUAAGCGCAGCGAUGCGUUGAGCUAACCGGUACUAAUGAACCGUGAGGCUUAACCUU
Molecule: ribosomal RNA, 2907 nt
Filed under: Klebsiella michiganensis
Lineage: Bacteria; Pseudomonadati; Pseudomonadota; Gammaproteobacteria; Enterobacterales; Enterobacteriaceae
Description: 23S ribosomal RNA
Rfam family: Bacterial large subunit ribosomal RNA
Source: RNAcentral